This 676-nucleotide ribosomal RNA is filed under the name uncultured bacterium. Its description in RNAcentral is "bacterial SSU rRNA". It matches the Rfam family "Bacterial small subunit ribosomal RNA", at positions 64 to 722 of the family's 1533-position model. The record is from RNAcentral.
GUGCUUGCAUUUGAAAGAUUUAGCAUUGAGACGAGUGGCGAACUGGUGAGUAACACGUGGGUAACCUGCCCUUGAAGUAGGGGAUAACACUUGGAAACAGGUGCUAAUACCGGAUAACAACCAAAACCACCUGGUUUUGGUUUAAAAGACGGCUUCGGCUGUCACUUUAGGAUGGACCCGCGGCGUAUUAGCUUGUUGGUAAGGUAACGGCCUACCAAGGCGAUGAUACGUAGCCGACCUGAGAGGGUAAUCGGCCACAUUGGGACUGAGACACGGCCCAAACUCCUACGGGAGGCAGCAGUAGGGAAUCUUCCACAAUGGACGAAAGUCUGAUGGAGCAACGCCGCGUGAGUGAUGAAGGGUUUCGGCUCGUAAAACUCUGUUGUUGGAGAAGAACAGGUGUCAGAGUAACUGUUGACAUCUUGACGGUAUCCAACCAGAAAGCCACGGCUAACUACGUGCCAGCAGCCGCGGUAAUACGUAGGUGGCAAGCGUUGUCCGGAUUUAUUGGGCGUAAAGCGAGCGCAGGCGGUUUUUUAGGUCUGAUGUGAAAGCCUUCGGCUUAACCGGAGAAGUGCAUCGGAAACCGGGAGACUUGAGUGCAGAAGAGGACAGUGGAACUCCAUGUGUAGCGGUGAAAUGCGUAGAUAUAUGGAAGAACACCAGUGGCGAAGGC